This 1454-nucleotide ribosomal RNA is filed under the name uncultured organism. RNAcentral's name for it is "16S ribosomal RNA". It matches the Rfam family "Bacterial small subunit ribosomal RNA". The record is from RNAcentral.
GGCGGCAGGCCUAACACAUGCAAGGCGAGCGGUAGCACAGAGAGCUUGCUCUCGGGUGACGAGCGGCGGACGGGUGAGUAAUGUCUGGGAAACUGCCUGAUGGAGGGGGAUAACUACUGGAAACGGUAGCUAAUACCGCAUAACGUCGCAAGACCAAAGUGGGGGACCUUCGGGCCUCAUGCCAUCAGAUGUGCCCAGAUGGGAUUAGCUAGUAGGUGGGGUAACGGCUCACCUAGGCGACGAUCCCUAGCUGGUCUGAGAGGAUGACCAGCCACACUGGAACUGAGACACGGUCCAGACUCCUACGGGAGGCAGCAGUGGGGAAUAUUGCACAAUGGGCGCAAGCCUGAUGCAGCCAUGCCGCGUGUGUGAAGAAGGCCUUCGGGUUGUAAAGCACUUUCAGCGGGGAGGAAGGCGUUAAGGUUAAUAACCUUGGCGAUUGACGUUACCCGCAGAAGAAGCACCGGCUAACUCCGUGCCAGCAGCCGCGGUAAUACGGAGGGUGCAAGCGUUAAUCGGAAUUACUGGGCGUAAAGCGCACGCAGGCGGUCUGUCAAGUCGGAUGUGAAAUCCCCGGGCUCAACCUGGGAACUGCAUUCGAAACUGGCAGGCUAGAGUCUUGUAGAGGGGGGUAGAAUUCCAGGUGUAGCGGUGAAAUGCGUAGAGAUCUGGAGGAAUACCGGUGGCGAAGGCGGCCCCCUGGACAAAGACUGACGCUCAGGUGCGAAAGCGUGGGGAGCAAACAGGAUUAGAUACCCUGGUAGUCCACGCCGUAAACGAUGUCGAUUUGGAGGUUGUGCCCUUGAGGCGUGGCUUCCGGAGCUAACGCGUUAAAUCGACCGCCUGGGGAGUACGGCCGCAAGGUUAAAACUCAAAUGAAUUGACGGGGGCCCGCACAAGCGGUGGAGCAUGUGGUUUAAUUCGAUGCAACGCGAAGAACCUUACCUGGUCUUGACAUCCACAGAACUUUCCAGAGAUGGAUUGGUGCCUUCGGGAACUGUGAGACAGGUGCUGCAUGGCUGUCGUCAGCUCGUGUUGUGAAAUGUUGGGUUAAGUCCCGCAACGAGCGCAACCCUUAUCCUUUGUUGCCAGCGGUUCGGCCGGGAACUCAAAGGAGACUGCCAGUGAUAAACUGGAGGAAGGUGGGGAUGACGUCAAGUCAUCAUGGCCCUUACGACCAGGGCUACACACGUGCUACAAUGGCAUAUACAAAGAGAAGCGACCUCGCGAGAGCAAGCGGACCUCAUAAAGUAUGUCGUAGUCCGGAUUGGAGUCUGCAACUCGACUCCAUGAAGUCGGAAUCGCUAGUAAUCGUAGAUCAGAAUGCUACGGUGAAUACGUUCCCGGGCCUUGUACACACCGCCCGUCACACCAUGGGAGUGGGUUGCAAAAGAAGUAGGUAGCUUAACCUUCGGGAGGGCGCUUACCACUUUGUGAUUCAUGACUGGGGUGAA